This 627-nucleotide ribosomal RNA is filed under the name uncultured Russulaceae. RNAcentral describes it as "LSU rRNA". It matches the Rfam family "Eukaryotic large subunit ribosomal RNA", at positions 47 to 649 of the family's 3401-position model. Lineage: Eukaryota; Fungi; Basidiomycota; Agaricomycetes; Russulales; Russulaceae. The record is from RNAcentral.
UAAGCGGAGGAAAAGAAACUAACAAGGAUUCCCCUAGUAACUGCGAGUGAAGCGGGAAAAGCUCAAAUUUAAAAUCUGGCGGUCUUUGGCCGUCCGAGUUGUAAUUUAGAGAAGCGUCUUCCGCGCUGGACCGUGCACAAGUCUCCUGGAAUGGAGCGUCAUAGAGGGUGAGAAUCCCGUCUUUGGCACGGAUGCCUGGUGCUUCUGUGAUGCGCUCUCGAAGAGUCGAGUUGUUUGGGAAUGCAGCUCAAAAUGGGUGGUGAACUCCAUCUAAAGCUAAAUAUUGGCGAGAGACCGAUAGCGAACAAGUACCGUGAGGGAAAGAUGAAAAGCACUUUGGAAAGAGAGUGAAACAGUACGUGAAAUUGUUGAAAGGGAAACGCUUGAAGUCAGUCGCGUCGACCGAGACUCAGCCUUGCCUUGGCUUGGUGUACUUCUCGGCCCGACGGGUCAGCAUCAAUUUUGCCCCUCGGAUAAUGGCAGGGGAAAGGUGGCACCUUUACGGGUGUGUUAUAGUCUUCUGUCGAAUGCGAGGGGUGGGAUUGAGGAACUCAGCGCGCACCUCAGUGUCGGGGCUUCGGCCCACGUCACGCGCUUAGGAUGCUGGCGUAAUGGCUUUAAACGACC